ACGAUCGCGAAUGAUAAAAUACAGAAUUGGUUGUUUACUGUUUGUUUGCAAAUAUUUUGUGAAAUGUAGAAAAAAAUAACUGAACAAAAUCUUCAUGUCCUGAUUCAAUUGUUGAUAAAAAGUGCGUUCAACCAAGAGAUGUUUUUGUUACUGUAUUUUUGUGUACUGCGGUUAUUUCUGCAAUGCCACUAAGACAAUAAAUUGCAAAUUCCUUAUCCUUAUCUAAAACAAGUAUUGUCGUUAUUAAAAUGUUCGUUGGAUUGAAACUAAUACCGUAGGCAAUACUUAAAUCCAUGAAAGUAGUAAGUACUUCAGCACUUGCUUAGUGAUAAUUUAUUGCCAUUGAAGUGCUCAGUGGAAUAUUUAGUACCUACUUUUCUGGAUUGCACCUAAUAAAACUUAUUACCUUAGUCAUAGCAACAAAGGAGAUUAUUAAGAAUCAUUAAUUCAAUUUUAUAAAAAUCCUACCCAGUCCAUGAUUACGAUAACAGGUAUUGUUUUACACUUCGAAUUAUUACUGGAAGCAGUCAAGCAGUGUAACUGUCUUAAGUAAUUUAGUAUUUUAAUUAAUAAUGCUCCAUAAUAAAUUAGAAUGUCUUCAUUUA
Agrilus planipennis (emerald ash borer) is the source of this 605-nucleotide long non-coding RNA. RefSeq lists it as uncharacterized. The transcript has 2 exons. NCBI's taxonomy places the organism in Eukaryota, Metazoa, Arthropoda, Insecta, Coleoptera, Buprestidae. The record is from RefSeq and is a predicted model, not a curated record.